RNAcentral lists this long non-coding RNA (709 nucleotides) under Ananas comosus (pineapple). RNAcentral describes it as "long non-coding RNA (ACOM_LNC017704)". Lineage: Eukaryota; Viridiplantae; Streptophyta; Magnoliopsida; Poales; Bromeliaceae. The record is from RNAcentral.
UAAGCAGGCAUAAGCAGAUAGAUAGGUAGAUAAAUAGAUAGAAAAGUAAACUGCAACUAUUCUACCAUGCCUUCAAUAAUGAGCAAUGCAUGCAAUAUUCAUUUGCAAUGAACCUACUAUCAUGCUAGUAUCAUGUCAGGAGUAUAUAAAAGUACAUAGCAAUGCAAUUUACAACAUACACUAUGUCUACUCGAGGUAAUAAUGCAAUUCUACUAUGCCAUUCAUGUUUAUUACCCAAUCUACUUGACUAGCCCGUAGGUUAAACCCUCGACUGACUCUCAAUCUCAUAGGUGAGGAGAAGCUGCACUCGCACACCGAGACCGUCUGCGGGACAACUACGUCUGCCCCUAGUGAAGUACUCCGGAGACUCGUGCUUCGGUGGAGCGACCACCGACAAGCGAAAACAGACUAGUGAGUAUGAUCCAAUCCUCUCAAGAGGAUACCCUGUCUACUAGGGUCAAUGUGCCUCUGCUGCACAGUAUACAAUGCAUCCUAGAUGCCGGGAUUUCUACUAUCCCUAGAACCAUGUCAUGUUUACUACACUAGACUCGAUGCCACUCGUUUAGUCAUUGUAGUACUGUUCUUUAACUAGUUGACAUGCCACUCGUCCAAUUAGUGUUUCUACUACACUAGUUCAAUGCCACUCUACUAGGCUAUCAUAUGUCCAAGUUCGGCUCUUUAUGCCACUAUAGGAUUCUAUGUCACAAGA